AUUGAACGCUGGCGGCAGGCCUAACACAUGCAAGUCGAACGGUAACAGGAAGAAGCUUGCUUCUUUGCUGACGAGUGGCGGACGGGUGAGUAAUGUCUGGGAAACUGCCUGAUGGAGGGGGAUAACUACUGGAAACGGUAGCUAAUACCGCAUAACGUCGCAAGACCAAAGAGGGGGACCUUCGGGCCUCUUGCCAUCGGAUGUGCCCAGAUGGGAUUAGCUAGUAGGUGGGGUAACGGCUCACCUAGGCGACGAUCCCUAGCUGGUCUGAGAGGAUGACCAGCCACACUGGAAGUGAGACACGGUCCAGACUCCUACGGGAGGCAGCAGUGGGGAAUAUUGCACAAUGGGCGCAAGCCUGAUGCAGCCAUGCCGCGUGUAUGAAGAAGGCCUUCGGGUUGUAAAGUACUUUCAGCGGGGAGGAAGGGAGUAAAGUUAAUACCUUUGCUCAUUGACGUUACCCGCAGAAGAAGCACCGGCUAACUCCGUG
This 490-nucleotide ribosomal RNA is filed under the name uncultured bacterium. RNAcentral describes it as "partial 16S ribosomal RNA". It matches the Rfam family "Bacterial small subunit ribosomal RNA", at positions 30 to 507 of the family's 1533-position model. The record is from RNAcentral.